CGCUCUCUCCCUCAUGAACCCCUCUCUGUCUUGCAACCUCUCCCUUCCCCCCAUGAACCUCUCUCCCUCGCCGCCACCCACCACCCACAUCGGCCAGUUCCGUCGAGCUCCAGCGGCGCGUAUCACACCCCGAGCUCCCCUAUGUCCGCACCUCCUUCCCCUCCGGCUAGAAUCAGCGCUCAAGCCGUCCACCAGCCCCCGUGGUAGCUAGGGCUUCGGCCGCCACCCCUUACCUGGCCGGGAUCCGCCACAUCCGGCGACGUCGAGGCCAGCGGGCGCCGGAUCCGUCACCGGCGUGCCCAGGUUGGUCCCUCUCCUUCUUGUUCGCCCUACCCUCUUCUCCCCACCUCACCUAUUCUUUCCUGUGAUUUCCUUUCAUGCAUAUCCAUGGCGUGAACGGAAGAGAAGCAGGACAGGCACAGAUGGAGGAACACCGUCUUCAUCCCCUGCCCCGACGCCAAAGGUGAUUGCGUCAAAAACAUGGAGGCGUUCAGGAAGCGGGCGGGCAAGUUCAAGGAGCAAGUCGCCGAGCAGCAGCAGAUAAUAUAUUUGAGCACGCGGAUGCCGGAGGGGUCGUGCCUGAGGAGACCGAGCUCGCCAUGCUGCUCAUUUUCAAUGCCAACAAGGGAAGGGCCGACGAGGAGAACAGGGUCCCUACACCAAGAGGUAACUGGCGCAACAGCUGUAACUUGAGACGCUGGACUGGAGGAAGGACCAUGAGGAGAACAACUACAUAAUGUUAUGGAUGAACAGGAUGAUGGGAGGGUGAAUCAGAUCUAGGAGCACAUCGACUACGAGGUUUGCCAACACGACAAGUACCGUAUGUGUGUCUACUCAUCCAACCUGGACGAAAUGCUUCUCGGAAUUCUUAAAGAGGAAGACAAUGGAGCCAUGCUGUUGUUGUGCAACAGGCUAUGUUUUUUGUAAUACCAUUUGUCUUGGCUGUGUAUCUUACUUUGUGUGUGCUAGGAUACUCAAAAAGCUAUCUCUGUAAUUUAAAUCUGUGUUAUGUUGUCUGGUGUGUGUAACCUUAUUUUGUGUGUGCUGGGAUACUCAAAAAGAUAUCUGUCUAAUUUAAAUCUGUGUUAUGUUGUC
Long non-coding RNA from Triticum aestivum (bread wheat), 1095 nucleotides. RefSeq lists it as uncharacterized. Lineage: Eukaryota; Viridiplantae; Streptophyta; Magnoliopsida; Poales; Poaceae. The record is from RefSeq and is a predicted model, not a curated record. The transcript is spliced from 5 exons.